GUCAUUAGUUGCCAUCAUUAAGUUGGGCACUCUAAUGAGACUGCCGGUGACAAGCCGGAGGAAGGUGGGGAUGACGUCAAGUCCUCAUGGCCCUUAUGACCAGGGCUUCACACGUCAUACAAUGGUCGGUACAGAGGGUAGCCAAGCCGCGAGGUGGAGCCAAUCUCACAAAACCGAUCGUAGUCCGGAUUGCACUCUGCAACUCGAGUGCAUGAAGUCGGAAUCGCUAGUAAUCGCAGGUCAGCAUACUGCGGUGAAUACGUUCCCGGGUCUUGUACACACCGCCCGUCACACCAUGGGAGUGGGGGAUACCAGAAGUAGGUAGGGUAACCGCAAGGAGCCCGCUUACCACGGUAUGCUUCAUGACUGGGGUGANGUCGUAACAAGGU
RNAcentral lists this ribosomal RNA (389 nucleotides) under Neisseria sicca. Its description in RNAcentral is "bacterial SSU rRNA". It matches the Rfam family "Bacterial small subunit ribosomal RNA", at positions 1107 to 1497 of the family's 1533-position model. The record is from RNAcentral. Lineage: Bacteria; Pseudomonadati; Pseudomonadota; Betaproteobacteria; Neisseriales; Neisseriaceae.